Molecule: ribosomal RNA, 208 nt
Filed under: uncultured bacterium
Lineage: Bacteria
Description: partial 16S ribosomal RNA
Rfam family: Bacterial small subunit ribosomal RNA
Source: RNAcentral
UGCGUAGGUGGUUGGUUAAGUUUGAGGUGAAAGCUCCGAGCUCAACUCGGAAAAUGCCUUGAAGACUAUCUGACUAGAGGAUUGGAGGGGAGAUUGGGAAUUCUCGGUGUAGCAGUGAAAUGCGUAGAUAUCGAGAGGAACACCAGUGGCGAAGGCGAAUCUCUGGACAAUUCCUGACACUGAGGCACGAAAGCCAAGGGAGCAAACG